UACGUAGGCAGCGAGCGUUGUUCGGAGUUACUGGGCGUAAAGCGUGCGUAGGCGGUGGUCCAAGUCUGGUGUGAAAUCUCCCGGCUCAACUGGGAGGGUGCGCCGGAAACUGGGCCGCUGGAGUAUGGGAGAGGCAAGCGGAAUUCCAGGUGUAGCGGUGAAAUGCGUAGAUAUCUGGAGGAACACCCGUGGUGCAGACGGCUUGCUGGACCAUGACUGACGCUGAGGCACGAAAGCGUGGGUAGCAAACAGG
RNAcentral lists this ribosomal RNA (253 nucleotides) under uncultured bacterium. RNAcentral's name for it is "partial 16S ribosomal RNA". It matches the Rfam family "Bacterial small subunit ribosomal RNA", at positions 524 to 776 of the family's 1533-position model. The record is from RNAcentral. RNAcentral also lists the same sequence under 2 other names.